CAGCAAUACCCAUCAACUGCAAUUUGCAUUAGAUGAUGCUUGUAAGCUGCAAAAUAUUUGUAAAUCUAAAGUUGUCUUGGUUAGAUACAGUAACAGAAUUUCCCAAGAAGGCAUAACAAGAAAAAACCCAUUAUCAGCCAUAUAGAAGAUGAAAUCCUCAAAGAUGUGGAGUACCGGGGGUGAGGUUGCCUCGAUAUGGAUUUACGUUACAGGGUUGACUAACAAAUUACAUCUUUGAAUUCUAUUUUUAUUUAUUUUUUUCUUUAUUGUUUCUUUGCUCACUUCUCCUUUUAGAUCUCUUCUGUCUGUCAUGAAUUGAAGCAUGUCACAUUAAGCUAUAUGGAGUAUCAUACUAUCAUAACAUGUCUUUAGAAGUGGAAAUGCUACUUGAAGAACUGAUUCUAUGAAAAACUCAAAAUAUAAACAUGUGCUUGCUUUAUAAUUGGUAAGGCAAACUGGAUCAGCCUGGAUGUGAGCUGAUAUACUUGAACUUGAACGAAUUAGUGACUAAAAAGUUCAUGCUUUUGCAGUUAGAAGCCCCUGUAGCCAGAGUUUGUGGUCUGGACACCCCCUUCCCUCUUGUUUUUGAACCAUUCUAUAUGCCAACAAAGAACAAGAUAUUGGACGCUAUCAAAUCAACUGUCAAUUACUACGUGCACAUCGGACUGUCCACUGUCCUGCUUUAUUCUAAAGAUGCAUCAUGGUCAUUAUCACCGUUGUUGUCAUUUACAUGUACAAAUAAUCCUCACAUCUGGGCUAUCUAACGAAAAUAAACACAUCAGGAAGAAAUUUGAAGUGCACUGUCCAUUUUCAAUCUCUUCUAAA
Long non-coding RNA from Quercus lobata, 825 nucleotides. RefSeq lists it as uncharacterized. The record is from RefSeq and is a predicted model, not a curated record. The transcript has 2 exons. Lineage: Eukaryota; Viridiplantae; Streptophyta; Magnoliopsida; Fagales; Fagaceae.